GACGAACGCUGGCGGUGUGCUUAACACAUGCAAGUCGAACGGCAAGGCCCUUUCGGGGGUACCCGAGUGGCGAACGGGGGCGUAACACGGGAGUAACCUGCCCUCAUUUCUGGGAUAACAGUCGGAAACGGUGGCUAAUACCGGAAAUGAGCCUGCAAGGCAUCUUGUGGGAUGGAAAGAUCUUUUGUGGUUGGGGAUGGACUCGCGGCCUAUCAGCUUGUUGUUGGGGUAGUGGCUCACCAAGGCUUCGACGGGUAGCCGGCCCGCGAGGGCGACCGGCCACAUUGGACCUCAGAUACAGCCCACACUCCUGCGUGUGGCAGCAGUGGGGCAUAUUGCACCAUGGACGGAAGUCUGAUGCAGCAACGCCGCGUGCGGGAUGACGGCCUUCGUGUUGUAAACCGCUUUCCAUUGUGACGAAGCGUUUUUGUGACGGUAGCAGUAGAAGAAGCACCGGCUAACUACGUG
RNAcentral lists this ribosomal RNA (468 nucleotides) under uncultured bacterium. RNAcentral's name for it is "partial 16S ribosomal RNA". It matches the Rfam family "Bacterial small subunit ribosomal RNA", at positions 28 to 507 of the family's 1533-position model. The record is from RNAcentral.